GGGCGGAAGGGGUGCUGGUUAUUCUCUGGUGUCUCGGAGUGGCUUUUAAUGACGGACGGUGGGGCAGGCCCGCUGGCUUUCGUGUUCCCGGUGGGCUUCUGUGAUACUGGUGCCUUCCGGUGCCUCCUGGCAAAUUCUUUGGAUUAAGGAAAGCGGCCUUUUAACCCCCUAGGGUUCCCUUCUGGAGAAGAGUCACCGGGUUUGGUUCUGUUUCCCCUUUCUGCUCGACACUUCUGGGAAGCUUGGUUCUCAGAAACGCUUCGUUAAGGGACUCAGGCAGUACGGGAAGAACUUCUUCAGAAUUAGAAAGGAGCUGCUUCCCAAUAAGGAAACAGGGGAGCUGAUCACCUUCUAUUACUAUUGGAAGAAGACCCCCGAAGCAGCCAGCUCCCGAGCCCAUCGUAGGCACCGCAGGCAGGCCGUGUUCAGGAGGAUUAAGACUCGCACCGCGUCC
RNAcentral lists this long non-coding RNA (454 nucleotides) under Homo sapiens (human). RNAcentral describes it as "non-protein coding lnc-ERRFI1-4:2". Lineage: Eukaryota; Metazoa; Chordata; Mammalia; Primates; Hominidae. The record is from RNAcentral.